AGUGAACGCUGGCGGCAGGCCUAACACAUGCAAGUCGAACGGCAGCACGGCAGUAGCAAUACUGUGGGUGGCGAGUGGCGGACGGGUGAGGAAUACAUCGGGAUCUACCCUGUUGUGGGGGAUAACGUAGGGAAACUUACGCUAAUACCGCAUAAGAACUGAGGUUGAAAGCGGCGGACCGCAAGGCGUCGCGCGAUUGGAUGAACCGAUGUCCGAUUAGCUAGUUGGCGGGGUAAAGGCCCACCAAGGCGACGAUCGGUAGCUGGUCUGAGAGGACGACCAGCCACACUGGAACUGAGACACGGUCCAGACUCCUACGGGAGGCAGCAGUGGGGAAUAUUGGACAAUGGGCGCAAGCCUGAUCCAGCCAUGCCGCGUGGGUGAAGAA
This 388-nucleotide ribosomal RNA is filed under the name uncultured bacterium. Its description in RNAcentral is "bacterial SSU rRNA". It matches the Rfam family "Bacterial small subunit ribosomal RNA", at positions 30 to 412 of the family's 1533-position model. The record is from RNAcentral.